AGUGAACGCUGGCGGUAGGCCUAACACAUGCAAGUCGAACGGCAGCACAGUAAGAGCUUGCUCUUACGGGUGGCGAGUGGCGGACGGGGGAGGAAUACAUCGGAAUCUACUUUUUCGUGGGGGAUAACGUAGGGAAACUUACGCUAAUACCGCAUACGACCUACGGGUGAAAGCAGGGGAUCUUCGGACCUUGCGCGAUUGAAUGAGCCGAUGUCGGAUUAGCUAGUUGGCGGGGUAAAGGCCCACCAAGGCGACGAUCCGUAGCUGGUCUGAGAGGAUGAUCAGCCACACUGGAACUGAGACACGGUCCAGACUCCUACGGGAGGCAGCAGUGGGGAAUAUUGGACAAUGGGCGCAAGCCUGAUCCAGCCAUACCGCGUGGGUGAAGAAGGCCUUCGGGUUGUAAAGCCCUUUUGUUGGGAAAGAAAAGCAGCAGGUUAAUACCCCGCUGCUCUGACGGUACCCAAAGAAUAAGCACCGGCUAACUUCGUG
This 492-nucleotide ribosomal RNA is filed under the name uncultured bacterium. RNAcentral describes it as "partial 16S ribosomal RNA". It matches the Rfam family "Bacterial small subunit ribosomal RNA", at positions 29 to 507 of the family's 1533-position model. The record is from RNAcentral.